ACGGAAGGCAGCAGUGAGGAAUAUUGCACAAUGGGGGAAACCCUGAUGCGGCAACGCCGCGUGAGCGAUGAAGGUCUUCGGAUCGUAAAGCUCUGUCCUUAGGGACGAAGAAAGUGACGGUACCUAAGGAGGAAGCCCCGGCUAACUACGUGCCAGCAGCCGCGGUAAUACGUAGGGGGCAAGCGUUAUCCGGAAUUAUUGGGCGUAAAGAGUACGUAGGUGGCUGCGUAAGCGAGAGGUGAAAGCCCGGGGCUCAACUCCGGCGAGCCUUUCGAACUGCGUGGCUUGAGUGCAGGAGGGGAAAGUGGAAUUCCUAGUGUAGCGGUGAAAUGCGUAGAUAUUAGGAGGAACACCAGUGGCGAAGGCGACUUUCUGGACUGUAACUGACACUGAGGUACGAAAGCGUGGGGAGCAAACAGGAUUAGAUACCCUGGUA
RNAcentral lists this ribosomal RNA (436 nucleotides) under uncultured Anaerovorax sp. Its description in RNAcentral is "partial 16S ribosomal RNA". It matches the Rfam family "Bacterial small subunit ribosomal RNA", at positions 341 to 792 of the family's 1533-position model. The record is from RNAcentral. Lineage: Bacteria; Bacillati; Bacillota; Clostridia; Peptostreptococcales; Anaerovoracaceae.